AGAGUUUGAUCCUGGCUCAGAACGAACGCUGGCGGCAGGCUUAACACAUGCAAGUCGAGCGCCCCGCAAGGGGAGCGGCAGACGGGUGAGUAACGCGUGGGAAUCUACCCAUCACUACGGAACAACUCCGGGAAACUGGAGCUAAUACCGUAUACGUCCUUCGGGAGAAAGAUUUAUCGGUGAUGGAUGAGCCCGCGUUGGAUUAGCUAGUUGGUGGGGUAAUGGCCUACCAAGGCGACGAUCCAUAGCUGGUCUGAGAGGAUGAUCAGCCACACUGGGACUGAGACACGGCCCAGACUCCUACGGGAGGCAGCAGUGGGGAAUAUUGGACAAUGGGCGCAAGCCUGAUCCAGCCAUGCCGCGUGAGUGAUGAAGGCCCUAGGGUUGUAAAGCUCUUUCAACGGUGAAGAUAAUGACGGUAACCGUAGAAGAGGCCCCGGCUAACUUCGUG
RNAcentral lists this ribosomal RNA (451 nucleotides) under uncultured Alphaproteobacteria bacterium. RNAcentral's name for it is "bacterial SSU rRNA". It matches the Rfam family "Bacterial small subunit ribosomal RNA", at positions 8 to 507 of the family's 1533-position model. The record is from RNAcentral. Lineage: Bacteria; Pseudomonadati; Pseudomonadota; Alphaproteobacteria.